GGAGAAUUACCCAUAUGGACAAACUAAUAAUGCAAAAUGGCUUCUUUGGGCAUACCGAAGGCACCAAAAAAGUUUCAGUCGGAUUAAAAAAUACAAAAAAAAUCGAAUGACCGAAAUCCUAGAGAACUGCUCAGGAGAAACCGACCUUUCCCUAAAUUGCCGGAUAUUAUUUUAAAAGUUUGCUUGAGAACGGCAAAGUUUCCUGUCCCCAAAGUGAUUGUUUUUUUGCCUGUCAACUGUCAAACAAAGGUGUACAAAUUUAGGUCAUAUUUUUUGUCAAUAUGUUUUACCAGUAUAUCAAUAACUACUUCAACAUGUUAAUGAAUGGUAAAACGUUACUUAAUCUACCGUAUGGUGGUUGAUGCAUUUCUCUCGAUAGGAUUCGAACUGACGACCUUUGGAUUGUGAGUACAACUGCCUACCAGCGACUCCACCGAGGAAGGACCAAUGGACGACUCCUACACUUGGACUAAGCUAAGGAUCUAGAUUAGGUCUGAACCAAUGUUCACUUCCCCAUCCGACGGAUAAGACAAAUCUUGACUCGAAAAAAGCCACCGGGUCUGACUGGGGCUGAAGCCAGGCCAGCUGGCCAUCUGUUGAGUGACACCGAAACACUUAUUUUAAGGAAAGAUAAGAAAAACUUGUAACACGCAUUAUCCCUCCCAAAGAAUUUUAGAAAUUUUAAUUUAUAAACAUACGUAAUUUUUCAUUUUAAUUACCGCCAACCCUAUUUAAGGAGACUGUUUACAUAUUUACACAAUUUAUGCAACUCGUUUACGCUAGGGAAUAAGUUGAAAACAAAAAUAAACCAGUAGCAACGGUCAAUUCAAAAAUUAUGCCACUUGUUCAAAAUCAGAUUAGUGUGCGUGACCUGUAGCGUGUGUUAUACAACAUUAUCUUGUCUAAUAUUCAAAGUUAACAGUGUAGUAACUUCAGGCAUCCACGCUAGGUGGUGAUACUGAUACGAACAAAUUUCGGAACCAUGUUUUGAAUUGGACUUGGCUCCAUAUGCCUUCGUCGAGCCAAUUCUCUACGUUGAAACCAGACUUGUCCUCCAGACCUCUUCGCCGAGCCAUGCCAGACCCCGAACUCCUAAGUCCCGGGUGGACUCUUCUCUGCGGCUAAGUCCCGACGGACUCUUCACGGCGGCUAAGUCCCGGCGGACUUCUCAAACGGCUAAGUCCCGGGUGGACUCUUCACGGCAGCUAAGUCCCGACGGACUCUUCACGGCGGCUAAGUCCCGGCGGACUGCGGCCUCCACCGCUAAGUCCGGCUGGACUGGAGCCUCUGCUACUGGUGGCUGCUGGCGGGUCCGGCUGGUCUGGGGCUUCUUCAGGAUCUGGAACUGGACUGGGCUUGAACUGGCUGGAACUGACUGGAACUAACUGCCCUCCUCAAGAAUUUUGGGGUUUUUAUAGUCAGUCCCCGAAAACUCUACUAAAUUUUGUUCUACUAAAAGUGGUCCGUUUCGAUGAGAAGCAUCGAUGAACCUCAUGAAUUAAAUUAUGCAGACCUCUGCAAUUCUUCAUGACUUUCCGUAUGGUGUAGUGAGUACACCUAAAAAUCGGAAGUCAUGGGUUCGAACCAUUGUCGUGAAACUUUAAAUUAUGUUAUUGGAACAUCAAAAUUAUGUUCCUAAAACAUUCUCAAAAAUGUUGGUCAAUAAUGAGAAGGUCGAAUUCUCCAUUGAACAAACAUGCCAAUGAAUUUGGUUAAGCCACACCCUCAAUUUCCCCUGUGUAAUAACAUCGCACAUUCAUAAUUGAAAGCUUAACCAUUUUUUUGAUUGCCUAACAAUUGGCGAAAUUUAAUAAAGGGCUUUUCAGGUGAGGAUGACUCAUGAUCCACACCUGUACAUAAGCUUAAUUAUUUGUCGCGCAACGCGAGUCGACGGGUAAAAUUAUUUAUGCUUGCGUAACCGCGCAUGGUCAGAACUGUGGUGAGGAUCGAAAAAUGGACAAAUUUAAUGAUUUAAAUUUGAGGUCGCUGCACUUGGUGAAAGCCCUAUUUUGGUCAAAAAUAUUGUUUAACUUGAAUAUUUUUCCAUAUAAAAAUAAAUAAAUUAGAGCAAACAGCUAAGUAGAUGUCAUCUACUCAAAUCUACCCAUAAGCACACCCCUGGGACCAUUGUUGAUUCAUCGUAAAAUGUAUUUUUUUAGCAUUAAAUUAAAAAAAAGUGAUCAGAAAUGAUUCAUGAGCGUAUUUUUUACCGUUGGACACAAACAUCGUCAUUGGGCUUUAGAACCAUUGCAAUGGAGUACCCGCAGUCGAGCAGUUUUUGACAGUUCGCUCUAUAAGAAAUACAUUGUAGAAAAAAGCAAAAACUGCUCGAAUGGAAAUGCUCCAUUGACAAAAACAAUGGAGUACCCGCAGUCGAGCAGUUUUUGACAGUUCGCUCCAUAAGAAAUACAUUGUAGAAAAAAGCAAAAACUGCUCGAAUGGAAAUGCUCCAUUGCAAUUACAUUUUAAACAAUUCUGGAGUUUUUUUUGUUUUUUUUGAAAAGGUCCAAUAAACCAAAUUUUUAGUUUUUGCUUUUUGGAUGUUUUUUUAAUACCCCUGACUGAAGGCGGCAUCGUUCGCAUCAUGCCUGUUUUUAAUGUAACUAUCAAGUGACUUAAACAGCAUUCAAUGUUUUUGGAUAUCUUAUAAAAAUUUGCAAAAAUAAUGCUAGGAUUAGAAUCGACGUUUAAAUUUCAACAGUCAUUCAAAAACUAUUCAAUUUUAAAUUCUUGACUUAUUUUCAUUCCUUAUGUCCAUCAGAGUAAUCGGGAUAAAUUCAAUGUUUACAUUUGUUUAUAGAACCUUAUAAAAAAUCUAGAAUUGUUAUAUGUAAUUUUAAAAAUCUACUGAAAAAAUCUUUUAAAAAGACAAACUUAUUUUGUCAAUCUUGGGGGGUCAAUGUGGAUCUGGAUAGGUAAACAAGCAGCCCAUUCUCCUCAUGUUAAUUGUAAACAUACACUGACGUAGGUAGGAUAGACAGCGAGGGGUGAGACACACCUAAUCAAUUAUCGUAUCACUAAUCAACUAUCGUAAUUGUUGGUUGAUUAGCUAAUUGAUUAGCGAUUAUUUGACAUACUGUUCCCACCGCGCGUCUCCUGAUCUUGGUAUCUCGAGUGAAGUCAUUUUGACAGAUGAAGUUUCCGCAUAAACAACAGUCAAGAGAUCAUUUUAAGGAAAUUUUGUCGGAGAUGGCUGCGGAUGUGGAACCAGUACUUCGAGUUCCUGUGGAUCAACCGGAUGAGGUCAUAAGACUGUUAGAGCGAAAUCUUUUGGUAAGAGUUUUCGUUUUUUGUUGAACUCAAACAAGGAACUGAUUAUUUCGUCAUUCCCCCAGGAGCUGUGGCUUGAUCGCUGACGACGACUGCUUCCUUACGCGCCGAAGGAGGACAAUCAGCCCGACACGAACGGUGAAGAGAUCCAGCUGAAUGCGAAGCAGAUUCUGGACCCUCUGCAGCGCGUCUGAAUGAUGAAAAAAGUAUCCGUCUAACUCUUGCCAUACGCGGAACCGAUCCCGGACAUUGUGCUGUGCCAGCUCUGGCUAGUCCAGCUGCUUGAAUGUGGAUCCGCGACUACAGGCAAAUGUACGACGUUUUGCUGAAGGCAACAUAACAGGUGAGCACAAUCUCUUGACUUUGAACGAUUAAAAGCAAGUUGAACAACAAUUCCGAAAAUAAUUUAGGUCUUGCUGGCCGAUGGGAAACUGCUGAUGGCGGAGGCAACCGGAACACCGAAUGACACUACUUCCCCGGAUGUGGUACAGCAAGCAUCGGCUCAAUCACAGCAACAUCUGCUCCCGCGUCCUGCUGCGUCGUUUAGCCGGAAGUACACUCGUCCUGGCUGGAGGUUACCGGCGAAUACAGCGACAUACAGUCUGUCGGAUAAUCCUACAACGAUUGCAGGCAGAGUGAAAGUCGUUUUAAAGCGCUCCCACUGUCAGGCCAGUCUUGCGGCCCAAUUUGGAAACCCCAAUGGAUAAGUUCACCAUCAGUCCCGUUCGUGAGGCCGUUUUCUGUCCAACUCGGUCACCCGCGGGAGUAGUGGAUGUGAUUUCUGAUGACUUCCGUUGCAACUCCGCGGCCAAUGGUCACGUCAGAUCUGGAAAUGCUGCCGGCAACCAAAAACGUCAGCCUCAAGAGAAUGGUUACGAAUGAUGCACGUUGCAAGAGACCACAGUUGGCGUCCGGUUUGCAGCUAAGCAACAGCUUAAAGACACGAUCCGCCUCGCGCUCGGCCCGCCCAUUAAGAUGGUGAGGAACCCGCGUGUCCCAUGUCCGGUGAUGGACACCGCGAGGCUAUCGAGGAGUUCGAUAGAGAGGAGCUAGGAGCGAAUAGAGAGCGCUGUUGAGCGGAAAUGAGAAGGCGCAAGACCGAGCCACACUCUGCCGAGAAUGAAAAAUGUUUAUUUCAUGAUAUGUAAUUGAAUGUUAAUAAAAUAAAAAUUAUGUUGUGUGCCUCUCUCUCUGGGCGGCACGAUGUUGGGGUUCACGAUGGCAAGUCGCUUCCUUGUCGUUGAUUUGGGACGAGAACGGAAGGAAUUUAGCAGGAAGAAAUAAGCUAUCUAGGCAAGUCUCUGUGAUUUAGGCCAACUCUUAACGGUUCCCGGUGUGUACAAAAUUCGCCGGUUUUCGUUUCGGUACAUUGAAGAUCGAGAAGCAGCCGAUUCCGUAGCGCUUCUGGAACGUGAGGUGGUUUAGUUGGAAGCACAUCCGGUCACCGAAGGAGGGGACCUUAGCCGUCAUCUGGAUCAACCAGCUAAGCUUCCGGCACUUGCCUAUUUCAAGGAAACCGUUUCUGUGACCAAAGCUAACGCCUACAUCUGAAUCGACGAAAUGGCCGGCGAACUGGAAAAAAAAGUUGAACCGUCUGCUUCCGACUGCACAAAUCGCUUCCAAAUCGGACCAACUGGAAGUGCUCACCGGCACAACAUGUUGCACGAGGACGUCACAAUCAAAUACGGCCACAACCGCAUCCCAGCGCCAUGAUGGACCUGGACCGCCCUGGAAUCUUACAUUCGAAUCCAUCCGGUUUCAAAAAGUGACCUAUACUGCGCUUCCGUUGUCCCGUGAAGAUUAUUUGGACGAUAGUGGCAAUCUUUCUGUUUCCAGGCGUCACCGAAUUAACCGAUAGAUUAGUCGAUUCCUGAAUCCGAGUGAAAAUUGUGCUUAAAAUAUAUUUUUGGUUAGAUUCCUUCGUAAAAUAGCCUCGUUUGUUUUGGUGGUUUUGGUUUUCUGACGUUUGUUCGACAGGCCAAGAUAAAAUAAAAUGGUGGGAAUACUCUAAUUGAUUAGCGUAACCUUAAUCAACUAACUAAUAAUUUCUAAUCAAUUAGUCGAAUAUUAUAAUUGAUUAGAGCAUGUGUCUCACCCCUCGAUAGACAGCUUAUUUGCAAAUCUUCAUUUCCAGAGUUUUUUUUAAAGGUCCUAUAACCUAUUGUCUUUUAUACGUUUAUAGGACCUAUUCAAAAAAAGUCGAGAUUUGCCCAGUUGUAUUGUUUUGCUUGAAUUUAUGGCAAAUUACACCUAAAAAGGUUGUAAAUAUCAUAAACGUGUACUUCUCACAAGAAUUUACUACAGACUGUCUAGGGGAAACAGACUGGCCGAUGCAAAUAAAUAGGCACUGGCAACGUAUGUUUUAUGCUUGCAACACUGCCAGUUUUGCUGGGCGUAAAGGGCGUUUGGUGUCCAGCGCGUUUGGAUCUGUCAAACAUUGGCCAAACUGUUUCCUAGACAAACUGUAGAAUUUACCACUGAAUUAUUGUAAUAAUUCUGCACCGUGUAUUGUUUUGAUUUCGAAAACAAAAAAAAACGUCGGUCGGCGAACGUCGGUUACCAGGAUUCAAAAGUAUGUUGAUGGGUAUUUUAAAGGUAAAUUUUAAUCAAUCUAAUGCUUCUUUCAUAGUCCCAUGAUGUCCCCGGCUAUCGUCAACGACCCGACUUCCUCCGCCCUCAAAAUGGUGCAUUUCGCCAACCCGGACUCGGCGAAGCAGAUCUGGAAUAAAGCAAUAGUUCGGCGGGGUCGAGCCGCUCACCAAGGAGCACGUCGGCAUAUAUUUUAUGACCCCGGCUAGUGAUAGUCACUUGCGCCAGCCAACAUUAGUUCUUGUAUUGUGACUUUACACAACCCGAAGCAGCAGUCGCCGGGGAAGGUGAUGGCCAUAAUCGUCGAUUGCCAACCUUGUCAAAUCUCCACUUGGCCCGGUCGGGUUGGACGAAAUUCUUAUGGAGGGCAACGAGACUAUCAUCAACGAGCUCAGCUUAUCGAUUGUCAUAAUCGCCGCUGGGUUGCUAAAAAACGCCGGCUGGCCGCCGAUCACCUGGCCGCACCAGAUGGACAAGUUAGGUCGUAAAACGCCCAUCAACGAGCUGAUCCUGAUAAGCAGGGCUGCGGAGUCGGGUCAUAUUUCAAACGACUCCGACUCCGACUCCGACUCCGGCUUUCUCAGACUAGCCGACUCCGACUCCGACUCCGACUCCGGCUCCGGCUUUCAACAAAUGGUUGGCUCCGACUCCGACUCCGACUCCGGCCUACCAACUCUAGCCGACUCCGACUCCGACUCCGACUCCAGCUUUCAACAAAUGGUUGGCUCCGACUCCGACUCCGACUCCACAUAUUUUUAAAUGUUUCAAAAGUUAGUCAACUAUUAUUAGCUAAUUAUUUUUAAAACAUUGAUAAAAAGGAUUAUUCAAAUACUCUCUAAGCGUCAAGUUUUUC
Long non-coding RNA from Culex pipiens pallens (northern house mosquito), 6712 nucleotides. RefSeq lists it as uncharacterized. The record is from RefSeq and is a predicted model, not a curated record. The transcript is spliced from 3 exons. NCBI's taxonomy places the organism in Eukaryota, Metazoa, Arthropoda, Insecta, Diptera, Culicidae.